RNAcentral lists this ribosomal RNA (452 nucleotides) under uncultured bacterium. RNAcentral describes it as "bacterial SSU rRNA". It matches the Rfam family "Bacterial small subunit ribosomal RNA", at positions 29 to 524 of the family's 1533-position model. The record is from RNAcentral.
AGCGAACGCUGGCGGCAGGCUUAACACAUGCAAGUCGAGCGGGCACCUUCGGGUGUCAGCGGCAGACGGGUGAGUAACACGUGGGAACGUACCCUUUGGUUCGGAACAACUCUGGGAAACUGGAGCUAAUACCGGAUACGCCCUUAUGGGGAAAGGUUUACCGCCGAAGGAUCGGCCCGCGUCUGAUUAGCUAGUUGGUGAGGUAACGGCUCACCAAGGCGACGAUCAGUAGCUGGUCUGAGAGGAUGAUCAGCCACACUGGGACUGAGACACGGCCCAGACUCCUACGGGAGGCAGCAGUGGGGAAUAUUGGACAAUGGGCGCAAGCCUGAUCCAGCCAUGCCGCGUGAGUGAUGAAGGCCUUAGGGUUGUAAAGCUCUUUUGUCCGGGACGAUAAUGACGGUACCGGAAGAAUAAGCCCCGGCUAACUUCGUGCCAGCCGCCGCAGUAAC